ACACACACAAUUGUUUUGAGUUGCCUUA
This 28-nucleotide non-coding RNA is filed under the name Mus musculus (house mouse). The record is from RNAcentral. Lineage: Eukaryota; Metazoa; Chordata; Mammalia; Rodentia; Muridae.